UCCACAGUAGCUCAGUGGUAGAGCAAUCGGCUGUUAACCGAUCGGUCGUAGGUUCGAAUCCUACCUGUAGAGCCA
RNAcentral lists this transfer RNA (75 nucleotides) under Oceanobacillus halophilus. Its description in RNAcentral is "tRNA-Asn". It matches the Rfam family "tRNA". Rfam says of the family: Transfer RNA (tRNA) molecules are approximately 80 nucleotides in length. Their secondary structure includes four short double-helical elements and three loops (D, anti-codon, and T loops). Further hydrogen bonds mediate the characteristic L-shaped molecular structure. tRNAs have two regions of fundamental functional importance: the anti-codon, which is responsible for specific mRNA codon recognition, and the 3' end, to which the tRNAs corresponding amino acid is attached (by aminoacyl-tRNA synthetases). tRNAs cope with the degeneracy of the genetic code in two manners: having more than one tRNA (with a specific anti-codon) for a particular amino acid; and 'wobble' base-pairing, i.e. permitting non-standard base-pairing at the 3rd anti-codon position. Lineage: Bacteria; Bacillati; Bacillota; Bacilli; Caryophanales; Bacillaceae. The record is from RNAcentral.